This 344-nucleotide unclassified non-coding RNA is filed under the name soil metagenome. Its description in RNAcentral is "partial contains 5.8S ribosomal RNA, internal transcribed spacer 2, and large subunit ribosomal RNA". The stretch from base 1 to 120 matches the Rfam family "5.8S ribosomal RNA", at positions 35 to 154 of the family's 154-position model. The record is from RNAcentral.
GAUGAAGAACGUAGCGAAAUGCGAUACGUAAUGUGAAUUGCAGAAUUCAGUGAAUCAUCGAGUCUUUGAACGCACAUUGCGCCCUCUGGUAUUCCGGAGGGCAUGCCUGUCCGAGCGUCAUUGCUGCCCUCAAGCACGGCUUGUGUGUUGGGCUCCGUCCCCGAUCCCGGGGGACGGGCCCGAAAGGCAGCGGCGGCACCGCGUCCGGUCCUCGAGCGUAUGGGGCUUUGUCACCCGCUCUGUAGGCCCGGCCGGCGCUUGCCGAUCAACCAAAUUUUUAUCCAGGUUGACCUCGGAUCAGGUAGGGAUACCCGCUGAACUUAAGCAUAUCAAUAAGCGGAGGA